RNAcentral lists this long non-coding RNA (1706 nucleotides) under Mytilus galloprovincialis (Mediterranean mussel). Lineage: Eukaryota; Metazoa; Mollusca; Bivalvia; Mytilida; Mytilidae. The record is from RNAcentral.
GUUACAUUUUAACGUUGUGUUUCCGUUGUGUCGUUUGUUUUCUCUUAUAUUUGAGUGUAAAUUCACAUUACUGUAAGACGUGUCACGGUACUUAUCUAUCUCAAAUUCAUGUAUUUAGUUUUGAUGUUAUAUUUGUUAUUCUCAUCGGAUAUUGUCUAAUGCUUAGUCCGUUUCUGUGUGUCUUACAUUUUAAUGUUGUGUCGUUGUUCUUCUAAUGCGUUUCCCUCAGUUUCAGUUUGUUACCCCGAUUUUGUUUUUGUCCAUGGAUUUACGAGUUUUGAACAGCGGUAUACUACUGUUACCGUUAUUGUAUCCAAAUUUAACCAACAUCUUUGACAUAGUCCAUUAAUUGUAACUUUACAUUAAAUCUGUGUGUCCUGUUCUUUUCCUUCAGUGAUUCAAUGUUAUUUUGUUUCAUUGGGUUUUUCGAAUCUUAACUUAAAAGUCAUGAAAAUAUAUUUAAGGACACCGUCUCAGCUAAUACAAAUUUCUUAGUGCUUAUAGGUCUUAAUUUGACACACUAUUAUCAACAGGACACGACAUAUUCUUUCCGUUAUAACUGGACUACAUCAAAAAUAAGAUCACAACGAAGUAAUCACUUUGAUCUUAACGAACGUGGACAGUAUGUUUCGUGACAUUAUUUAAUAUAAUUCCAACAAAGUAUAUCCGUAACAUGACGAGGAAAUCGCUGUACGCCAACACGUAAAGAAUUGUUUAGUGGAAUUGGACAAAGAGUAAUGAAUACGCCAAAGCAUACAAAGUCUUUCAGCAUUUUUAUUAUCACUAAUUCGAUGUGCGUAGAAAAAUGUUAGAUCUCAAAUACAAUCGCUUUUUGUAUAGAAUUAAUUUAACUUGGUUUUCUUCUUUGUCUGCCUAGUUCUUCAUUAACCGAUGUAUAUAGAAACGAUUUUUAUGCAUUUAAUGUGUGGUCACAUGUUCGAAAACACAUCAAAAUUUGAUACCUUAAGAAUCUAAUUUGAAUCUAUGAUAGUGUGAAUUUAAGAAAAGAUUGAAGAUCUUUUUUUUUUUUUUUUUUGAAAACGAUACUGUUAAGAAACAUUUAUGAACAUGGCUCUAACUCUUUGCGUGUUUUCAUCGUAUUUGUGAUUGAUUUAAAAACAUGAUACCUUAUGCUGAAAUGAUGACAAACUUUUCGAAUAAACUCUUGGUACCAGGACAAAAUUUGUGUACUCAAGAUGCGAGUCUCGAAUCACACAGGUUAAAAUGGUCAACAAAAAACAAAGUUGAAGGAGACCAUCAUUUCUUCAUUUGAUUAAAAAAAAAUAUUCACAACUUUUUUCCUAAUUUAUUCAGUUUUAUAUCUCUCAAAGUUCAUCGGUAUUCAUUUGGCUGGUGUUAUCGCUGUAUUAUUUUGUUGUUAAAUGAUUUUCAACAUUAAAUAGGUUCCUGACAGCAACUUUUAUCAUCAUAAAUUUGGCAUGCAACUAUACCAUGCAGAACAGACUCCAAAUUGUACAUACACAAUGGGUCAAAGUUUCAAAUUGCUGGGUUGCAAUAUUCGUGACUAGUUAAUGUAGAAUGUUUACAUUGAAGUUGCAAUUAAAUGAAGGUUGAAACAAUUUGCUUGAAAAAAAAGUUCCCUAGUUUGGAUAAUGUAAACAAUUUCUCCAUACAAUUUCAUGAGAGCAAGUGAAUAACUUCUACAUAUAUUCGAUCUUAUAGUGAAGUCUAAGGGAUCUUGGUUG